Molecule: unclassified non-coding RNA, 760 nt
Filed under: Hevea brasiliensis (rubber tree)
Lineage: Eukaryota; Viridiplantae; Streptophyta; Magnoliopsida; Malpighiales; Euphorbiaceae
Source: RNAcentral
UUUUCUUCUUCUUUGCACUUUUAGGCUCUGUGGCCCCACCAUUUUUCUUUUCUACAUCUUCUGCUGGCUUACCCUCUUUCUUCUCGUUAGCAACAUCAGGUAGGUCUUCCGGACCGUCCUCCUUUUGUUCCACCCCAAAAUCAGCUAAAAGUGCCUCCAAUUCAGCAAGCUCCUUUUUCUUUCUCUCUUUCUUCGAUAGUUGUCUCUCAGCUUCUUUGGGAGCUGGUGAAGCUUCUAUCUUUUGUCUUACUGGCUCAGCAUGUUCUGCAACCUCAGACUCGUGGUCAUUAUCUUCCACAUCUUCAUCUUCAUCAAGAAGGUCGUCCUCACUUUCUGUUUCCUCAACAGGUUCAGUUUUUUUUCCAGAUUCAUUAGAACCCACAAAAGACUGAAGAGGAGCAGUAGUGGCGUAGUAAUCGUCAUCAUCUUCGUCAUCAACAUCUGCCCAAGAUUUCACCGUCAACGGCGCCGGAGCCCACAAAACUUCCGGCUCCUGUUCCUUUUUCGAUGACCCUUUACUUUUCUCCUUAUCAGAUUUCUUCUUCUUCCUCAAAGUAUCCAGCGCCGCAAAUACAUUGGAAUUUUUCACCAUCACAGACCCUUCUUCCCUUCUGUUACCCCCCAUCAUUUCAACCGAGUAAACCCAAUAAAUCUUCUUCAAUUUUUGUUCGUUCUACUCAAGAAAAUAAAGAAGAAUGAACUAGAAGAAAUUGGAUGGGAUUUUUGUUCAAAUAAUUAGGGUUUGGAGAGUUCUUGAUAG